Molecule: long non-coding RNA, 1080 nt
Organism: Oreochromis aureus
Lineage: Eukaryota; Metazoa; Chordata; Actinopteri; Cichliformes; Cichlidae
Exons: 2
Source: RefSeq, a predicted model, not a curated record
CACCUACAUGCACGUGCACACAAGUGAGCGAUCACUAAUAAAUCACAGACACAUCAACAGUGUUUUAGCUUCAGCGCCGGCGUUGUCAAACUUUCAAUCAUACCUGCAGCCAGUUCUUUGAAGCUCUCAUAUGGGCUGAAUGGCGGCUGUUUUCCACCAUCAUCGCAGAGCAUUCCUCCAGCAGAUCCAACAAAACCCGCGACUCCGGCAGCUGUGCUCCGAAGCAGUUUGCUAAUGUGAUGCUAACUAGCUAAAGAAUCCCAACAUAUAUGAGAUAAUUGCGUGCACCUGUGAGGUGGGGGCGUGCCCCCCGAGGUGGCCUAUUGGCCGCCAAACUGACUUAAGGGAGAUAGUGAGCGCAAAGACAGGAGAAGAGACACACGGAAAGCGAAGAGCAGGAAACCGAACGUGUGCAGACGAGCGCACGUAUAGAAGGACCGGCCUGCCUGUGCGGCGUCGCGAGACUUCCGGCGAUCGGCCAGCAUAACCCGGCGAUUCAGUUCUGACGGACAGAAUAGCAACAGUGGGAGGCGACGCGUGAAAUCCACAGUAGGGCAGAGGGGACGCCUCUGCCUGCAUCCGUGAGUAUCGCUUUCCCACUGUUGGACGCUAGGCGUGGCUUUGCCGGGGAGGGGUAACAGUGGCUGUGCCGACUACGUUGCUGGCCCGUGUUUGUUGUUUUAGGGCCGGGCUACGAGGGAAGCCGUGUGCGGGUGCGGAGAGUGGCUGGACUGCACGGUCACGCGCCGCCAGGUGGGGAUAGGAGCCUCCUCCCUGGCCUUCUGCUGGCGAGAUUUCCCCAUCCCGGAAGAGGAGCUCCCCUUCUGCGUCUUUCAGCUAAGGAACAUUUGCCCGAGUGUGUGUGGUUGGACACUGGGAAUAGAGGACUCUGGGGGGGAAGUUUUAUCGUAUAAAAAGGACAUUCAUUUAGCUUUGAUUUUUUUAAUUGUAUUUUAAUCUCUGCCGGCAGGGCUUUUUAGUGGGUUGGGAACAUUUAUUUUUUUAUUGUAUAGUGGGGAUUUUAACUCCUACUUGUGAUUCUGGCUGUUCUUCUAAAAAAAUAAAUGGUGUGUUUAAAGC